Molecule: transfer RNA, 85 nt
Filed under: Candidatus Buchananbacteria bacterium RIFCSPHIGHO2_02_FULL_38_8
Lineage: Bacteria; Candidatus Buchananiibacteriota
Description: tRNA-Leu
Rfam family: tRNA
About the family: Transfer RNA (tRNA) molecules are approximately 80 nucleotides in length.
Source: RNAcentral
GCCGCGGUGGUGAAAUUGGUAUACACGCAGGACUUAAAAUCCUGUUCCUGAAUAAGGAGUGAGAGUUCGAGUCUCUCCCGCGGCA